UAGGGAAUCUUCCACAAUGGGCGAAAGCCUGAUGGAGCAACGCCGCGUGGGGUGAAGAAGGUCUUCGGAUCGUAAAACCCUGUUGUUAGAGAAGAAAGUGCGUGAGAGUAACUGUUCACGUUUCGACGGUAUCUAACCAGAAAGCCACGGCUAACUACGUGCC
Molecule: ribosomal RNA, 163 nt
Filed under: uncultured bacterium
Lineage: Bacteria
Description: partial 16S ribosomal RNA
Rfam family: Bacterial small subunit ribosomal RNA
Source: RNAcentral